Molecule: ribosomal RNA, 305 nt
Filed under: uncultured bacterium
Lineage: Bacteria
Description: bacterial SSU rRNA
Rfam family: Bacterial small subunit ribosomal RNA
Source: RNAcentral
CCCCUACGGGGGGCAGCAGUGGGGAAUAUUGCACAAUGGGGGAAACCCUGAUGCAGCGACGCCGCGUGAGCGAAGAAGUAUUUCGGUAUGUAAAGCUCUAUCAGCAGGGAAGAAAAUGACGGUACCUGAGCAAGAAGCUCCGGCUAAAUACGUGCCAGCAGCCGCGGUAAUACGUAUGGAGCAAGCGUUAUCCGGAUUUACUGGGCGUAAAGGGAGCGUAGGCGGCCUGACAAGUCAGAUGUGAAAUUCCGGGGCUCAACCCCGGACCUGCAUUUGAAACUGUUGGUCUUGAGUAUCGGAGAGGC